Molecule: ribosomal RNA, 253 nt
Filed under: uncultured bacterium
Lineage: Bacteria
Description: partial 16S ribosomal RNA
Rfam family: Bacterial small subunit ribosomal RNA
Source: RNAcentral
UACAGAGGGUGCAAGCGUUAAUCGGAAUUACUGGGCGUAAAGCGUGCGUAGACGGUUAUGUAAGUCGGGUGUGAAAGCCCCGGGCUCAACCUGGGAAUGCCAUUCGAGACUGCAUAGCUAGGGUGCGGAAGAGGGAAGCGGAAUUUCAGGUGUAGCGGUGAAAUGCGUAGAUAUCUGAAGGAACACCAGUGGCGAAAGCGGCUUCCUGGUCCAGCACCGACGUUCAGGCACGAAAGCGUGGGGAGCAAAAAGG